Molecule: non-coding RNA, 21 nt
Organism: Caenorhabditis elegans
Lineage: Eukaryota; Metazoa; Nematoda; Chromadorea; Rhabditida; Rhabditidae
Source: Ensembl
UACCAAAAAUGGACCAAAAAU